UCUUUAGUUUGCCAUCAUUAAGUUUGGGUCACUCUAAAGAGACUGCCGAUGACAAAUCGGAGGAAGGUGGGGAGUGACGUCAAAUCAUCAUGCCCUUUAUGUCCUGGGCUACACACGUGCUACAAUGGUCGGUACAACGAGAAGCAAGUCAGCGAUGGCAAGCAAAUCUCUAAAAGCCGAUCCCAGUUCGGAUUGCAGGCUGCAACUCGCCUGCAUGAAGUCGGAGUUGCUAGUAAUCGCGGAUCAGAAUGCCGCGGUGAAUGCGUUCCCGGGUCUU
Molecule: ribosomal RNA, 277 nt
Filed under: uncultured Eubacteriales bacterium
Lineage: Bacteria; Bacillati; Bacillota; Clostridia; Eubacteriales
Description: uncultured Clostridiales bacterium partial 16S ribosomal RNA
Rfam family: Bacterial small subunit ribosomal RNA
Source: RNAcentral